RNAcentral lists this RNase P RNA (395 nucleotides) under Spirochaetia bacterium. RNAcentral's name for it is "RNase P RNA component class A". It matches the Rfam family "Bacterial RNase P class A". From Rfam's summary of the family: Ribonuclease P (RNase P) is a ubiquitous endoribonuclease, found in archaea, bacteria and eukarya as well as chloroplasts and mitochondria. Lineage: Bacteria; Pseudomonadati; Spirochaetota; Spirochaetia. The record is from RNAcentral.
AGGGCAGGCCAGGCCGCCGCUUGCCCCCCUGCGGGGGCAAGAGGAAAGUCCGGGCUCCGAAGAGCGCGGUACCGGGUAACGCCCGGACGCGGGGGAGGCGGAAGCGUUUUCCCCCGCGAUAGACAGCGCCACAGAAAACAUACCGCCCGCGCGUCCCGCGCGGGUAAGGGUGAAAAGGCGGUGUAAGAGACCCCCGCCUCCGCCGGCAACGGGGAGGGCAUGGCAAGCCUUACCGGGAGCAAAGUCAAAAAGCGGGAAACGGGCUGCUCGCCCAAGGUGCUUCCCGCGGGUAGACUGCUUGAGGGGCCCAGCGAGGCCCCCAGACAGAUGGCGGCCCGGGCGCUCCCCUGCGGGGGCACCCCUGACAGAACCCGGCUUAUCGGCCUGCCCUUUUU